RNAcentral lists this ribosomal RNA (433 nucleotides) under uncultured bacterium. Its description in RNAcentral is "partial 16S ribosomal RNA". It matches the Rfam family "Bacterial small subunit ribosomal RNA", at positions 29 to 507 of the family's 1533-position model. The record is from RNAcentral.
AGCGAACGCUGGCGGCAGGCUUAACACAUGCAAGUCGAGCGGGCACUUCGGUGUCAGCGGCAGACGGGUGAGUAACACGUGGGAACGUACCCUUCGGUUCGGAAUAACGCUGGGAAACUAGCGCUAAUACCGGAUACGCCCUUGUGGGGAAAGGUUUACUGCCGAAGGAUCGGCCCGCGUCUGAUUCGCUAGUUGGUGGGGUAAUGGCCUACCAAGGCGACGUUCAGUAGCUGGUCUGAGAGGAUGAUCAGCCACACUGGGACUGAGACACGGCCCAGACUCCUACGGGAGGCAGCAGUGGGGAAUAUUGGCCAAUGGGCGCAAGCCUGAUCCAGCCAUGCCGCGUGAGUGAUGAAGGCCUUAGGGUUGUAAAGCUCUUUUGUCCGGGACGAUAAUGACGGUACCGGAAGAAUAAGCCCCGGCUAACUUCGUG